GGAAAAGAAACUAACAAGGAUUCCCCUAGUAGCGGCGAGCGAAGCGGGAAGAGCUCAAAUUUGUAAUCUGGCACCUUCGGUGUCCGAGUUGUAAUCUCGAGAAGUGUUUUCCGUGCUAGACCGCAUACAAGUCUGUUGGAAUACAGCGUCAUAGGUGGUGACAACCCCGUACAUGAUGCGGAUGCCUAGUGCUCUGUGAUACACUUUCGAAGAGUCGAGUUGUUUGGGAAUGCAGCUCAAAUUGGGUGGUAAAUUCCAUCUAAAGCUAAAUAUUGGCGAGAGACCGAUAGCGAACAAGUACCGUGAGGGAAAGAUGAAAAGCACUUUGGAAAGAGAGUUAAAAGUACGUGAAAUUGUUGAAAGGGAAACGCUUGAAGUCAGACUUGCGUAUUGGAGUUCAGCCGCAAGGUGUAUUCUUCAGUUUGCAGGCCAGCAUCAGUUUUUGGGGAUACAAAAGGGUCAGAGGAAGGUAGCAGCUCCGGCUGUGUUAUAGACUUUGACUGGAUGUAUCUUUGGGGACUGAGGAAUGCAGCGCACUUUUUGCAAGUCCCUUGGGGCUUUCUGCGCUUAGGAUGCUGGUAGAAUGGCUUUAAACGAC
Molecule: ribosomal RNA, 598 nt
Filed under: Colacogloea bettinae
Lineage: Eukaryota; Fungi; Basidiomycota; Microbotryomycetes; Colacogloeaceae
Description: partial large subunit ribosomal RNA
Rfam family: Eukaryotic large subunit ribosomal RNA
Source: RNAcentral